GACGAACGCUGGCGGCGUGCCUAAUACAUGCAAGUAGAACGCUGAAGGAGGAGCUUGCUUCUCUGGAUGAGUUGCGAACGGGUGAGUAACGCGUAGGUAACCUGCCUGGUAGCGGGGGAUAACUAUUGGAAACGAUAGCUAAUACCGCAUAAUAGUAGAUGUUGCAUGACAUUUGCUUAAAAGGUGCAAUUGCAUCACUACCAGAUGGACCUGCGUUGUAUUAGCUAGUUGGUGAGGUAACGGCUCACCAAGGCAACGAUACAUAGCCGACCUGAGAGGGUGAUCGGCCACACUGGGACUGAGACACGGCCCAGACUCCUACGGGAGGCAGCAGUAGGGAAUCUUCGGCAAUGGACGGAAGUCUGACCGAGCAACGCCGCGUGAGUGAAGAAGGUUUUCGGAUCGUAAAGCUCUGUUGUAAGAGAAGAACGAGUGUGAGAGUGGAAAGUUCACACUGUGACGGUAUCUUACCAGAAAGGGACGGCUAACUACGUA
This 495-nucleotide ribosomal RNA is filed under the name uncultured bacterium. RNAcentral describes it as "partial 16S ribosomal RNA". It matches the Rfam family "Bacterial small subunit ribosomal RNA", at positions 28 to 507 of the family's 1533-position model. The record is from RNAcentral.